RNAcentral lists this ribosomal RNA (253 nucleotides) under uncultured bacterium. RNAcentral's name for it is "partial 16S ribosomal RNA". It matches the Rfam family "Bacterial small subunit ribosomal RNA", at positions 524 to 776 of the family's 1533-position model. The record is from RNAcentral.
UACGGGGGGGGCAAGCGUUGUUCGGAAUUACUGGGCGUAAAGGGCUCGUAGGUGGCCAACUAAGUCAGACGUGAAAUCCCUCGGCUUAACCGGGGAACUGCGUCUGAUACUGGAUGGCUUGAGUUUGGGAGAGGGACGCGGAAUUCCAGGUGUAGCGGUGGAAUGCGCAGAUAUCAGGAGGAACACCGAUGGCGAAGGCAGAUCUCUGGGCCGUAACUGACGCUGAGGAGCGAAAGCGUGGGGAGCGAACAGG